CCCUGCCCUUUGUACACACCGCCCGUCGCUACUACCGAUUGAAUGGCUUAGUGAGGCCCUCGGAUCGAUGUUCGGAGACUGGCAACAGUUUCCGAUCGUUGAGAAGUUGGUCAAACUUGGUCAUUUAGAGGAAGUAAAAGUCGUAACAAGG
Molecule: ribosomal RNA, 151 nt
Filed under: Glomus sp.
Lineage: Eukaryota; Fungi; Glomeromycota; Glomeromycetes; Glomerales; Glomeraceae
Description: partial small subunit ribosomal RNA
Rfam family: Eukaryotic small subunit ribosomal RNA
Source: RNAcentral